AGUGAGACCACGGGAUCAGAGAAAUACUGAAUGAUGCCCAGCUAGGGUGGAGAGCUAAGGGAAGUGGCUGCUCUAUGGGCAGAACUUGCUGAUUGGCCCUGUUCAUGGGAGGAACCGCUGGAAAGGUCAAGCUUUGGGAAACCAUGUUGCUUAGACUGCCAGCCUUCUCCACUAUCCUCACAUGAGUCACUGUGAUGUUCUGGGAGGGUGGUGCCUGAAUAAGUAAUAGCUUCCCUCAGGAAAUCCAGACUGGGCUGGAAGUCCAAGAACUCUGGGUCACCUACAUAGGCUCUGAAUUGUAACCCAGCCCUGUUGUAGAGCACAGCCUCAGAAGGGAGGGCUACGAGUCCGCGUCAUUGACUGUGACAGAUUCUUUUCCAUCACAGCUUAUUUUGAACUGCCCAAAAUUAAUAUGGGUAAAUCUUUACUGGGAUAUAUCCAUGAGCUUUCUCCAUCCUCUCUCCCCCCAUUUUUUUCUCAGUGAACUUCGGUGAAAAAAUUAAAAUCGAUUCAAUGCCCUCUUGCUAUUGCCAUGCUGUUCUGUGAUUAAAUUUAAAAGGAUGUGUAAAAUUUCCUGCUGAGUUCUGUUUCAUAGGGCUAAUGACCUUUUCUAUAAGGGAACCCAGAAGUUACCUGACUUGACCAUGGAUAACCUCUCCAGCCUCAGUGCCUACCAGCUGAGAGGUGUUAGACUUAAGAAACUGGAGGUCCCCACCAGAUUCAGCAUUCUAACAUCUCCUUUUUGCUCCACAGAGCUCACCUCCUAAGCACUGGUUUUAUGCACUAAUGAGUCUGAAGCCCACUUUGCUCUGAAGCAAAAGGUUUGGCACGAUAUGAUCUAGGCAUAUCCCUUGACAGCUUUUUCCAGAAGGUGACAUUCUCUCCACAGCUUCGCACCAGAAGGUGCAUCAAAGUCACAUUUGUUGACCUGAUUUUACCAAAAGAAUCCAUUUUGUCUUGGGAAUAUUUUCCUCAUUAAAAAAAUUAUAGUUUUUAUUAAGGAAAAGAUAGGCAAUAUAGAAAAUUAUAAAGAAGGGAAUAAGAAAACCUCUCAAAGAUAGUAUUGUUAACAUUAUAACAUGUGUAUGUACCCUUGUGAUAAUUUUUCUUUGUGUGUAUAGUAAUUUGAUUUUUUAAAAAUAAUUGAUACAGAAUUGGAGUUAGGUCUCUCAAACUGUUUUUUUCAGCCUGCUUUUCUUUCCUAAUAAUAAAUAAUUAGCAUUUUUCUUUGUUACUAUCUAACAAUUCACAGAGGACUCUGGA
Molecule: long non-coding RNA, 1263 nt
Filed under: Marmota monax (woodchuck)
Lineage: Eukaryota; Metazoa; Chordata; Mammalia; Rodentia; Sciuridae
Source: RNAcentral